UCAUGUAGUCACCCAGGAGGCCCCGAGGACGAUCCAGUAGUUGAGAGAGAGGAUCCUAGUCCUAUGGAUGCAGAGUCAUUGAAGAGAGAAAAUUCGAUGCCUGAACCUUUCCCAGAUGUUAAGGAAGAGACGCCUUGUGAGCUUCUUCACCCCGGGGAAAACACUGGUGGACAGUUGCAGUUGGUGGGGUAUGGUAGUGCACAACCUUUUGACAAGG
Chenopodium quinoa (quinoa) is the source of this 217-nucleotide long non-coding RNA. RefSeq lists it as uncharacterized. The record is from RefSeq and is a predicted model, not a curated record. NCBI's taxonomy places the organism in Eukaryota, Viridiplantae, Streptophyta, Magnoliopsida, Caryophyllales, Amaranthaceae. The transcript is spliced from 3 exons.